UCCCUGGUGGCUCGGACGGUAAAGCGUCUGCCUACAAUGCAGGAGACCCGGGUUCGAUCCCUGGGUGGGGAA
This 72-nucleotide transfer RNA is filed under the name Bos taurus (domestic cattle). It matches the Rfam family "tRNA". Rfam says of the family: Transfer RNA (tRNA) molecules are approximately 80 nucleotides in length. RNAcentral also lists the same sequence under 3 other names. Lineage: Eukaryota; Metazoa; Chordata; Mammalia; Artiodactyla; Bovidae. The record is from Rfam by way of RNAcentral.